AAGAUUUAAGAUUGAAGUUUGCAAAUCUUUUCAGCUGCUAGGUUGUAGGUAUAUUGCUGAACAAUCAUUUUUUUUCAGAUGCUUAUAGUUUUAUGGCUACACCUUAUCCACUUUCUUUUUCUCGUUGGUAGUGUCAUGCACUAGAGCUCUAUUUUUCAGUACGCUCACUUAACAAGAUUUACACCACUCUUUAGCUUUCUGAACAUGAUUUGUAUAGUGAUAUUCACUUCCCCCAGCACAUGCAAGCCAAUGUUUGCUUAUACCCUUGAGAUUAGAAGAUACAAGCAUCACGUUUCAGCACAAAGUUAUAUCCGUAAUUGCUACAAUCAAAUCUCAUACAAUACUACGUGAGAUUUUGCGAUUCUAAGAGAGUAUGGUGCAAUCUUUCUCAAAAAUAUAAUACAGAUUUUCUCCUGAUUCGAUCCGCCGUUAUGUCUUUUUCGCAAAAGACGUGUGUUAGAAGGAUUGUCAAGAAAAUGAGCUAAGGUAUGUUAAGACUAUCCUUCUUUCCUUUUGGCAUGAUCCAUACGAUAUAAACGAAACGAGCAAAUACACAAUUUUCAUAAAUGACUAUUCAUAGAAAUGCUAGAGAUGCCUAUGUUCUUGAUUCCCCAUGUAUCCUAUUAUUCUAUCAUUGCGAAAUAAAUAGUUUGCCCAUCAACUUUGGAGCGAAAUCCCUGUUACAUACCUCUCCUUCACGGGAAACUUUUUACACACUCAACCUUUCAAAAAUGUGUCUAAGAUACAUCACUUUUGACCAGAUAACACUUGUGUGUUUACACAUAAAAAAAAGCGCGUGAAGCCCGUAAAAAAUUCGAUUUAUUUUUUGUCUCCCCUCCCUACAAGAAUCCCUCCCCUACCUCUGAUCUUCUUCCUCAGACCACCCUCCCCUCAUCUUCUUCCCCAAAUAAACUGUUUGAAAGAACAUAAAAUUUUAGAUCUAAAAUUGAGAGAAAUUCAUUGGUUUAUUGUCCAAAUAUUAUGAAAACUAUUUAUUUUGUGAUAGAUUUAAAAGCUUUUAAUAGUAUUGAAGGUUUGGUGAAAAAAUCUAGAAUCCACCAUUAUUGGAUAUCGAAAAAGUUUGAAAAUUCAAUUGGGUCUUGUUGAUUAUUGAGUUGUUGAACUCAAUUGUUGGUCGAUUGUUUUCGACUAGUUGUUUAGAUAGUGUGGUUGAAUUUUGGUAUUGUUGGAAACUUUCUCACAAACAACAUGUUGGCAACAAAAAUGGUGCUUAAGAUAUAAAAUGGAAAGAUGAAAAAGAUGGGUUUUAAUUGUAAUUUCUAAUAUUUUUUUCCUUUCUAAAGUCGAUGACACGUGUUACGACCCUAUUCGGGCGUGACUUUCACGUUGUCUGAAAAAAUUAGUCAAGCACAAAAGUGGUGUGUCUUAGAUACACUUUUGAAAGGCUGAGUAUGUAAAAAACUAUCCAUGAACGAAAAGUGUGUAACAGGGAUUUCGUUGCAAGGUCGAUGCGUAAACUAUGUAUUUUGCCUUCUAUCAUCUGUUCAUGGGCCUUAUACAUACGUAAGUUGAUAAAGUUUAUUUCAUGAUAUUAAUCAAAGGCAUAAUGGUCUUAUGACGUUCCGAGAAAUUUUAUUGACGUACUUCUCAUGCAUUGCAUUCAUCUAUACAUGUACAUUGACCCAUGACCCGAUGGCGUUAUACGCGUAUAUAUGUAUAUUAUAUGUAUAUGGGAUAUGGGAAAAUGUUACGGUAUUAUAUACGCACCACCACCUGAUCAGCUGGUAUACGUUGAUGAUUUUGCCCACAGUGGCUGAAAUGAUAUGAUGGGAUGCCCUCAGAGACUUGAUGAUGUUAUGAACACAUGUACCUAUGCCGACAUGAAAUUCAUACGCAUAUGCAUGACACUAUAAGUAUUUCAUGAUUUAUAGAAUUAUCCAGACUUAUUGGUUAAGUUAUUUACUCCAUGUUUCUUCCAUGUCUUUUAUAUACUUAUUUAUGUGCCUUACAUACUCGGUACAUUAUUCGUACUGACGUCCCUUUUGUUGGGGACGCUGCGUUUCAUACCCGCAGGUAUAGACAAUCAGUUUGACAAGCCCUCAUAUUAGACGAGGUCAACAUUCAACGAAGGAUCGAUAAAACUCCAUCUUAUUCGGAGUGCAGCCAAGUCUAUAAGUCAUCAUGUCAGAGUUUUGCUACAGAUUUAUGGGUAGGCCGGUACCCUGUCCCAUUUGAUGUCAAAUAAUCUUAGAGGCUUUGUAUUCAUUUUGUACAGUAUGUCAAAGGCCUUGACGGCCCAUAUGUAUUCAUGUUUUAAGAACGAUAGUUUAUUGAUAGAGUGUUCGCUCACUUACAAUUAUGCACUACGAGUUGUUGCCAUGUUGGCCCACGAUGAUCACAGAAAGAAUGAGCUACACAAUGGUUUACUCGGACCAGUACGUCACCAAGUGCCAGCCACGCCUCCCAUGUUUGGGGCGUGACAUAAAAUACGAAAUUUAG
Molecule: long non-coding RNA, 2460 nt
Filed under: Nicotiana tabacum (common tobacco)
Lineage: Eukaryota; Viridiplantae; Streptophyta; Magnoliopsida; Solanales; Solanaceae
Description: long non-coding RNA (NTAB_LNC013059)
Source: RNAcentral